CACCACCAGGAUCCAGGGAUCCAGCACCGCUGGGAUUUGGCUCUUGGACAUCCAGAACCACUGGGAUCCGAGGAUCCAGCAACACUGGGAUUUGGCUCUCCAAUAUCCAGCACCACCGGGAUCUGGCACUAUUGGGAUUUGGCUCUCCAACAUCCAGAACCACUGGGAUCCAGUGAUCCGGGACCACUGGGAUAUGGCUCUCUAACAUCUGGCACCACUGGGAUCCAGGGAUCUGGCACCGCUGGGAUUUGGCUCUCGGGGAUCUGGCAUCACUGGGAUCUGGGAAUCCGGCAGAGACAGCAUUGGGUGCUCAGGUGACCGGUACCACUGGGAUCCAGGGAUCCAGGAAUCCGGCAGAGACGGUGUUUGGUGCUCGGAUGGCCGGUACCACCGGGAUCCAGGGAUCUGGGACCACUGGGAUUUGGCUCUCCAGUAUCUGGUACCACUGGGAUCCAGUGAUCUGGGACCACUGGGAUUUGGCUCUCCAGUAUCUGGUACCACCGGCAUCUGGGGAUCCAGCACCGCUGGGAUUUGGCUCUUGGACAUCCAGAACCACUGGGAUCCGAGGAUCCAGCAACACUGGGAUUUGGCUCUCCAAUAUCCAGCACCACCGGGAUCUGGCACUAUUGGGAUUUGGCUCUCCAACAUCCAGAACCACUGGGAUCCAGUGAUCCGGGACCACUGGGAUAUGGCUCUCUAACAUCUGGCACCACUGGGAUCCAGGGAUCUGGCACCGCUGGGAUUUGGCUCUCGGGGAUCUGGCAUCACUGGGAUCUGGGAAUCCGGCAGAGACAGCAUUGGGUGCUCAGGUGACCGGUACCACUGGGAUCCAGGGAUCCAGGAAUCCGGCAGAGACGGUGUUUGGUGCUCGGAUGGCCGGUACCACCGGGAUCCAGGGAUCUGGGACCACUGGGAUUUGGCUUCCCAGUAUCCAGCAUCACUGGGAUCCGCUGGGAUUUGGCUCUCAGGGAUCCAGCACCACCGGGAUCUGGGGAUCUGGCAGGGAUGGGGUUUGGUGCUCGGAUGUUGGGCACCACCGGGAUCCGGGGAUCCAGCACCACCAGGGUUUGGCUCUCCGGGAUCUGGCGCUGCCAGGAUGUGACUCUUGGGCAUCUGGGAUCCGGGGAUCCGGCACCGCCGGGGGUUUGGCUCCCCGGGAUCCGGCACCACUGGGUUCCAGGGAUCCGGCACCGCCGGGGUUUGGCUCCCCGGGAUCUGGGAGCACCGGGAUUUGGGGAUCCAGGCUCUGGCUCCAGGCGGUUCCGGCUCCGCGGCAGCGGGUGCAGGUGUGUGGUGGGGCCGUGUCCCUCUGUCCCCUCCCCGUGUCCCUCUGUCCCCUCCCCGUGUCCCUGUCCCUCUGCACAUCCAGGGGUCCGUGUCCAUGCAUGUCCCUCCGUGUCCCCGUGUCCGUCUGUGCGUCCCCGUGUCUGUCCCUCCAUGUCACCCCAUGUCACUCCGUGUCCCU
Molecule: long non-coding RNA, 1465 nt
Filed under: Calidris pugnax (ruff)
Lineage: Eukaryota; Metazoa; Chordata; Aves; Charadriiformes; Scolopacidae
Description: lncRNA (ENSCPUG00000010629.1)
Source: RNAcentral